UAGGGAAUCUUCCGCAAUGGGCGAAAGCCUGACGGAGCAACGCCGCGUGAGUGAUGAAGGUCUUCGGAUCGUAAAACUCUGUUAUUAGGGAAGAACAAAUGUGUAAGUAACUAUGCACGUCUUGACGGUACCUAAUCAGAAAGCCACGGCUAACUACGUGCCAGCAGCCGCGGUAAUACGUAGGUGGCAAGCGUUAUCCGGAAUUAUUGGGCGUAAAGCGCGCGUAGGCGGUUUUUUAAGUCUGAUGUGAAAGCCCACGGCUCAACCGUGGAGGGUCAUUGGAAACUGGAAAACUUGAGUGCAGAAGAGGAAAGUGGAAUUCCAUGUGUAGCAGUGAAAUGCGCAGAGAUAUGGAGGAACACCAGUGGCGAAGGCGACUUUCUGGUCUGUAACUGACGCUGAUGUGCGAAAGCGUGGGGAUCAAGCAGG
Molecule: ribosomal RNA, 429 nt
Filed under: Actinomycetes bacterium
Lineage: Bacteria; Bacillati; Actinomycetota; Actinomycetes
Description: Actinobacteria bacterium partial 16S ribosomal RNA
Rfam family: Bacterial small subunit ribosomal RNA
Source: RNAcentral